Molecule: ribosomal RNA, 3103 nt
Filed under: Neoactinobaculum massilliense
Lineage: Bacteria; Bacillati; Actinomycetota; Actinomycetes; Actinomycetales; Actinomycetaceae
Description: bacterial LSU rRNA
Rfam family: Bacterial large subunit ribosomal RNA
Source: RNAcentral
GUAGGUUGUGUUGGGCGUUCGGUGGAUGCCUUGGCAUGAUGGGCCGAAGAAGGACGUUGUAGCCUGCGAUAAGCCUCGGGGAAUUGGCUAGCGAGUUUUGAUCCGAGGGUGUCCGAAUGGGGAAACCUGGCUGGGGUGAUGCCUGGUCGCUGCCUCCUGAAUUGAUAGGGGGGUGGUGGUAACGCGGGGAAGUGAAACAUCUUAGUACCUGCUGGAGUAGAUAUUCCGUGAGUAGUGGCGAGCGAAAGCGGAGGAGCCUAAACCUAGUGUGUGUGUUGAGCCGUCGGGUGGUGCAUGCUGGGGGUUGUGGGACGUGUCUUUAUCCUGACCGACGUUGGGGUGCGUAGUGAUAAACCUGGGUGAUAGGUGAAGGGUCUGGGAAGGCCUGCCGGAGAGCGUGAGAGCCGUGUAACUGGAAUUGCCUGGGCUGCGUUGAUGUGUUCCCGAGUAGCACGGGGCUCGUGGAAUCUCGUGUGAAUCUGCCAUGACCAUGUGGUAAGGCUGAAUACCUGUUGUGACCGAUAGCGGAUAGUACCGUGAGGGAAUGGUGAAAAGUACCCCGGGAGGGGAGUGAAAUAGUGCCUGAAACCGGGCGCCUACAAUCCGUCAGAGCUCCUGUGUGGGGGUGAUGGCGUGCCUAUUGAAGAAUGAGCCUGCGAGUUAGUGAUGCGUGGCGAGGUUAACCCGUGUGGGGUAUCCGUAGCGAAAGCGAGUCUGUUAAGGGCGGUAGUUGCGUGUUCUAGACCCGAAGCGGGGUGAUCUACCCAUGGCCAGUGUGAAGCAUGUGUAAGAGCGUGUGGAGGCGCGAACCCACUUCAGUUGAAAAUGGAGGGGAUGAGCUGUGGGUAGGGGUGAAAGGCCAAUCAAACUCCGUGAUAGCUGGUUCUCCCCGAAAUGCAUUUUGGUGCAGCGUGUUGUGGUCUGCCUUGGAGGUAGAGCGACUGGAUGGUGGACGGGCCCUGUCGGGUUACUGAUAUCAGCCAAACUCCGAAUGCCAGGGACAGGUAGCAGCGCAGUGAGACUGUGGGGAAUAAACUUCAUGGUCGAGAGGGAAACAGCCCAGACCGCCGGUUAAGGCCCCUAAGUGUGUGCUAAGUGGGAAAGGAUGUGGAGUUGCUGUGACAACCAGGAGGUUGGCUUAGAAGCAGCCAUCCUUGAAAGAGUGCGUAAUAGCUCACUGGUCAAGUGAUUCUGCGCCGACAAUGUAGCGGGGCUGAAGUACACCGCCGAAACCGCGGCAAUGAUCAUCAUCCUUGUGGUGGUGUUGGGUAGGGGAGCGUCGUGUUCGAGGUGAAGCAGCCUGGUGAUGGGUUGUGGAUUGGACGCGAGUGAGAAUGCAGGCAUGAGUAACGAGAGGCGGGUGAGAAUCCCGUCCGCUGUAUGACUAAGGGUUCCAGGGGCAGGCUUGUCCGCCCUGGGUUAGUCGGGUCCUAAGGCGAGGCCGUCAGGCGUAGUCGAUGGGUGACCAGUUCAUAUUCUGGUACCGGUAGAGAACCGUCCGUGUGGUCCGUGUUGAUGCUAACCACCCCAAACUGUCUGUCCUGUGCAGGAUUUUUCUUGUAUGGGUGGGCGGGGCGGCGUGGGGUCCGAAGUACGGGUCGCAAGCGUGGUAACAGGUGUGACGCAGAGUGGUAGUUCAGCGUGUCUUAUGGCUUGGCACGUUCAAGGGUGUGGCCCGUUUUCUAGGUAAAUCCGGGAGACGUGUGGGUGAGGCCUGAUGAGGACCCAGUAUAUGGGGUAGUGAAUGAUCCUGGGCUGCCGAGAAAAGCAUCGACGCGAGGUUUGAACCGCCCGUACCCGAAACCGACACUGGUGGUCUGGUAGAGAAUACUAAGGCGUGCGAGUGAAUCAUGAUUAAGGAACUCGGCAAAAUGCCCCCGUAACUUCGGGAGAAGGGGGACCUGAGACUUGGCAUGCCCCGUGCGGGUAUGUGGGGUUGAGGGUCGCAGAGUCUAGGGAGAAGCGACUGUUUAUCAAAAACACAGGUCCGUGCGAAGCUGUAAGGCGAUGUAUACGGACUGACGCCUGCCCGGUGCUGGAAGGUUAAGCAGACUGGUGAGCACUCCUUGUGGGUGUGAGGCUGGGAAGUUAAGCCCCAGUAAACGGCGGUGGUAACUAUAACCAUCCUAAGGUAGCGAAAUUCCUUGUCGGGUAAGUUCCGACCUGCACGAAUGGCGUAACGACUUCUCCACUGUCUCGAUCAUGAACUCGGUGAAAUUGCAUUACGAGUAAAGAUGCUCGUUUCGCGUAGCAGGACGGAAAGACCCCGGGACCUUUACUAUAGCUUGGUAUUGGUGUUCGGUACGGCUUGUGUAGGAUAGGUGGGAGACGGUGAAGCAGUCACGCUAGUGGGUGUGGAGUCAUUGGUGAAAUACCACUCUGGCCGUGUUGCACUUCUAACCUCGACCCGUGAUCCGGGUCAGGGACAGUGCCUGGUGGGUAGUUUAACUGGGGCGGUUGCCUCCUAAAAAGUAACGGAGGCGCUCAAAGGUUCCCUCGGCCUGGUUGGUAACCAGGUGGUGAGUGUAAGUGCACAAGGGAGCUUGACUGUGAGACAGACAUGUCGGGCAGGUACGAAAGUAGGAACUAGUGAUCCGGCAGUGGCUUGUGGAAGCGCUGUCGCUCAACGGAUAAAAGGUACCCCGGGGAUAACAGGCUGAUCCUUCCCAAGAGUUCAUAUCGACGGAAUGGUUUGGCACCUCGAUGUCGGCUCGUCGCAUCCUGGGGCUGGAGUAGGUCCCAAGGGUUAGGCUGUUCGCCUAUUAAAGCGGUACGCGAGCUGGGUUCAGAACGUCGUGAGACAGUUCGGUCCCUAUCCGCUACGCGCGUUGGAGAAUUGUGAAGGGCUGUCCCUAGUACGAGAGGACCGGGAUGGACGAACCUCUAGUGUGCCAGUUGUUCCGCCAGGAGCACGGCUGGUUAGCCACGUUCGGGAGGGAUAACCGCUGAAAGCAUCUAAGCGGGAAGCCUGCUUCAAGAUAAGUUCUCCUACCAGCCCUGUGGGGUUGGGUGAGGCCUCCUAGAGAUGAUGGGAUGGAUAGGCCGGAAGUAGACGCCUUGUAAAGGGUGGAGCUGACCGGUACUAAUGGCCGAAAACCUACAC